Molecule: ribosomal RNA, 253 nt
Filed under: uncultured bacterium
Lineage: Bacteria
Description: partial 16S ribosomal RNA
Rfam family: Bacterial small subunit ribosomal RNA
Source: RNAcentral
CACGGAGGGUGCAAGCGUUAUUCGGAAUCACUGGGCGUAAAGAGCGCGUAGGCGGUCUCUUAAGUCAGAUGUGAAAGCCCGGGGCUUAACCCCGGAAGUGCAUUUGAAACUAAGGGACUUGAGUAUGGGAGAGGGAAGUGGAAUUCCUGGUGUAGCGGUGAAAUGCGUAGAUAUCAGGAGGAACACCGGUGGCGAUGGCGACUUCCUGGACCAAUACUGACGCUGAGGCGCGAAGGCGUGGGGGGCAAACAGG